GUAUAGUAUUUAUAUGACAGCUAAUGAAAACAGGUACAAGAAUAACAUUAUUCAAGUAUUAUUUUAUUUGAUUUUGAUCGAAUGAAGAAUUCUUACUAUCAAUCAAAUAUCCCAAAAUAAAAUGAUUGUUAAAAAAAAUAAAAUUAUUAUGUAUCUUCAUUUCAUUUCAUAAAGCUCAUCAUCUGAUCAAAUAUAUACUGCUGAACCUAUCAGCUCACCCAUUCCAGCACAGAUUGCUGUCUCAGGAUGCCAGACAGCUGAUGAACCACCAUCUUCUGUGGAGAGUAUCUGGAUUAGGAGACUGGAGCAGGUUCACCAGAGAAAUGAAGAAACACCUUAUACUGAACAUGCCAACCUAUCAGCCCAAAUACCUCUUUCAUUUACCGGUACUAAUAGCAGCACUCAGCAACCACCAAAAGCCAGUGAGAAUAAACGGACAAAGAAACCCAAGAGAACUGCAGAAGAUGUGUACGAGUUGCAGUGUCAGGCAUUAGAGAUCGAGCUAAAAAGAAAUCGG
This is a long non-coding RNA of Mytilus californianus (California mussel), 517 nucleotides long. RefSeq lists it as uncharacterized. The record is from RefSeq and is a predicted model, not a curated record. The transcript is spliced from 3 exons. Lineage: Eukaryota; Metazoa; Mollusca; Bivalvia; Mytilida; Mytilidae.